CAGUUUUUGAAUUAAAAUGUAAUAUGUUUGUUAGAAGAUUAUAGUUGCAACAGCGUUAUACUCUUUGACUAGUUGAUUAAUUCAAAAACUUCUGUAUUGGUUUCUUCUAUUAGGUUGUGUCAAUAACAGAUGCAAUAGAAAAUCAUCCUUUAAAAAAUAGCAUCAUUAUUGAGGCACAAAAAGCUGUAAUGGAUGAUCGCUUGCAUCGUCUUCUUGUCAAAGUAGCAUGCUCUUACUUAAUUGAUUGCUUCGGAAAGUUAUCCUGCUACUGGUAACAUGAAAUCCAGUACAACCUGUUUCAUGUUAACGUCAGGAAGGGCAUCCGGUUGUAAAAAAUUGCUUCAACUCUUACAUAGUGGCAUUUAUGUCACUUUGUAGAACCAUCCAAACCACACUAGUGUGGAAACAUGGAUGUAAAACUUC
Hydra vulgaris (swiftwater hydra) is the source of this 423-nucleotide long non-coding RNA. RefSeq lists it as uncharacterized. The record is from RefSeq and is a predicted model, not a curated record. Lineage: Eukaryota; Metazoa; Cnidaria; Hydrozoa; Anthoathecata; Hydridae.